GUAGUCCACGCUGUAAACGAUGGGUACUAGGAUUCGGGGGAGUUGACCCCUCCGGAUCCGGAGCUAACGCGAUAAGUACCCCGCCUGGGAAGUACGGUCGCAAGACUAAAACUCAAAGGAAUUGACGGGAGCCCGCACAAGCGGUGGAUUAUGUGGUUUAAUUCGAAGCAACGCGCAGAACCUUACCUAGGUUUGACAUCCUUUGACAAUACCAGAGAUGGUACUUUCGUAGCAAUACGACAAAGAGACAGGUGCUGCAUGGCUGUCGUCAGCUCGUGUGGUGGCAUGUCGGGUUAAGUCCCUCAACGAGCGCAACCCCUAUGUUUAGUUGCCAGCAUUAAGUUGGGCACUCUAGACAGACUGCCGUGGUUAACACGGA
RNAcentral lists this ribosomal RNA (379 nucleotides) under uncultured bacterium. RNAcentral describes it as "bacterial SSU rRNA". It matches the Rfam family "Bacterial small subunit ribosomal RNA", at positions 790 to 1167 of the family's 1533-position model. The record is from RNAcentral.